RNA transcript from Humulus lupulus (European hop), 3485 nucleotides. It is a transcript of the gene named protein CLMP1, with no coding region annotated. NCBI's taxonomy places the organism in Eukaryota, Viridiplantae, Streptophyta, Magnoliopsida, Rosales, Cannabaceae. The transcript has 4 exons. The record is from RefSeq and is a predicted model, not a curated record.
AACCCUCUCUCUCCCCAACGCUCCCCUAACGGACACAAUAGCCUAGCCGACCCUCUCUCACAGCUCUCCUCUCUUUCACCCACGACAGCUCUUCGCUCACACCGGCUCUCUAAGGCACGGCAGCUACCUAUUACGCCGGCUCUGUCAUAUCCCAGAUAAAUUUCCAAUUACGUCUGAAACCGUGGAAAUCACUGAAAACAGAAAAUUAAUUGUAGGUGUUGGUCGUCCUGGUUUGGUGUUACCGACUCAAACCGUGCGGUGUAGUUUAACUAUCAAACUGCAAGUUUGGUACACCUUAGCUGCCUGUGUAAGAAGAAGGGGAGUGUUAUUUUUAUAUGGGGAAAUCUGGGGGAAGGAAGAAAAAGGGUGGUUCGAACCAAGUUUCUGGGGAUAACAUUUCAACCCCUAUUGCUAAUGGUUCUGUGGAUUUGGAUUCUUCCAUAUUUUUGAAGAGAGCCCAUGAGCUUAAAGAGGAAGGGAACAAGAGGUUUCAGAACAAGGAUUAUGUGGGUGCUCUUGAGCAGUAUGAUAAUGCGCUUAGGCUCACACCGAAAACUCACCCAGAUAGGGCAGUCUUUCAUAGCAAUAGAGCGGCUUGUCUUAUGCAAAUGAAGCCUGUAGAUUACGAAGUUGUGAUUGCUGAGUGUUCUAUGGCACUCCAGGUUCAGCCACGGUUCAUCAGGGCCCUUCUUAGAAGGGCUCGGGCAUUUGAGGCUAUUGGGAAGCAUGAAAUGGCUAUGCAGGAUGUGCAGUUGUUGUUGGGGGCUGAACCGAAUCAUCGAGACGCCUUGGAUAUUGCUCAGCGGCUGCGGACAGCACUUGGGCCUCGUCAAGAGGCACAACAAGAUCUUCAGAGUCGCCCUUCCCCUGCCGCGCUUGGAGCAUCUGCAGUCCGUGGUGCUCCAAUUGCUGGGUUGGGACCAUGUCUUCCAACCCGAUCAGUGCAAAAGAAGGCAACUACUUUGACCGGGCUAUCUGCUGCCUCUACAAACAACAAGGCUGACAAGUCUCAGACAAUUCUUGUAGCUGAAAAUGGUGCUGAGCCCAAAACACAGUUACCAAAACUUCAAUUGAAGCCAUCAAACAAUUCAGCAAAACCUCACAGUUUAAGUAAUCAAAAGGAACCAUCAUCUUCUUCCUCAGUAUCUUUUUCAACUCAUGGGCAGUAUUUGGAUGCAGCAGUUCAAUGGAGGCCAUUGAAGCUUGUUUAUGAUCAUGACAUAAGGCUUGCCCAAAUGCCUGUUAAUUGUGGUUUUAGAGUGUUGAGGGAAGUUGUGACCAAACGCUUUCCAUCGUCUAAGUCAGUUUUGAUCAAGUACAAGGAUAGUGAUGGGGACUUGGUGACUAUAACCUCUACAGAUGAACUUAGGUUGGCCGAGUCUUGUGCUGAUAGCCAUGUUCUAAAAGAUCCUGGAACUGAUAAAGCAGAUUCAGUUGGGAUGUUGAGACUGCAUAUUGUGGAGGUAAGUCCUGAACAAGAGCCACCUCUUCUGGAAGAAGAAGAGGAGAAACCCACCGAGAAUGAGAUUAAGGGAUAUGAAAGUGGAUCUCAUUCCUCUCUUGGUGAAUCUUUGUUGGAAGCUACUGAUUCUGUAGUUGAUAAGACAGAUAAAGAAGCUCCAAAAGAGAAACCAGCACCUUCAGAAGUUCCUGAGGCAAAGGAACUUGAAAUGGAUGAUUGGUUGUUUGAGUUUGCUCAACUUUUCCGCACCCAUGUUGGUAUUGACCCUGAUGCUCAUAUUGAUUUACAUGAGCUUGGAAUGGAGUUGUGCUCAGAGGCACUUGAGGAGACAGUAACUAGUGAAGAGGCUCAGAGUCUUUUUGAUAAGGCAGCCUCAAAGUUCCAGGAGGUGGCUGCCUUGGCUUUUUUCAAUUGGGGAAAUGUUCAUAUGUGUGCAGCUAGGAAGCGAAUUCCUUUAGAUGAAUCUGCUGGAAAAGAAGUAGUGACCACCCAGCUUCAAACAGCUUAUGACUGGGUUAAGGAAAAAUAUUCUUUAGCCAGGGAGAAAUACGAAGAAGCACUCUCCAUUAAGCCAGACUUUUACGAGGGGUUACUGGCACUGGGGCAACAACAUUUUGAAAUGGCUAAACUUCAUUGGUCUUUUGCAGUUGCUAAGAAAAUAGAUCUUGCAAGUUGGGAUUCUUCAGAAACAUUGAAACUGUUUGACAGUGCAGAAGAGAAGAUGAAAGUUGCCACUGAGAUGUGGGAGAAGUUGGAGGAGCAGAGAGAAAAAGAGCUCAAGGAUCCAAAUGCAGUCAAGAGGGAAGAAUUCCUGAAAAGAAAGAAAAAACAAGGAAGUGGAAACGAAGGUGAGUCCUCUGGAGUAGGUGGUCAGGUUGAGAUUUCAGCUGAGGAAGCAGCAGAACAAGCAGCGGUGAUGAGAUCACAAAUUCAUUUGUUCUGGGGAAAUAUGCUUUUUGAACGAUCCCAAGUAGAGUGUAAACUAGGAAUGGGUGGUUGGCAGAAGAAUCUGGAUGCUGCAACUGAGCGGUUUAAACUUGCUGGAGCUUCGGAGACAGAUAUUUCAAUGGUUCUGAAGAACCAUUGCUCCAAUGUUGAUUCAGCUGAAGAAGGCAAGAAGGUGCUUCCUCUAAACGGUGUUGAUGUACCAAAAAAUAACGGGGAAAACAUUCAGUUGUGUAGAUGAUAUCAUUGGUGGCGAGCUUCUUAUUAGGAAUAGGCUUACUGCAGGCUUAUUGGCAGUUAGAAACCUCAACCUGUUCUAUCUUCGGCACUCAAGUCUCUAUUCUAAAUAUUUGUGCAAAUAAAUCCUCAUACUUAAUAGAUGCUUGGAGCUGUUAAUAAUUAUGCUUAAACCGUUCAGUGUUGCUGUCAAAUACACAUUUGAUUCUUAGUAGGGGUAUUGAAUGGAAAAAUAUUGUAAUUAUUAGGGCAAUCCUUUCAUUUUUUUUCUCUAAAAUUUGCAAUUUUUUCUUCCAAUCCAUGUGGUGCACUAUUCGAUAACGUUGUUGUCCAUUCGACGCUUUAUUGUUGCCGGUGUGUUUUCCACCACUUCUUCCCAGUGGACAAAAGAGAAAUGAUGAUAUAUGGGUUACAGUGUGCUUUUAUUUGGCAAAAAUGAAAUGGUGGAAAUGGUGAAUCAUGAGUAGAACGCUGGGCUUUGGAAUUGAUGUUUGGAUUAUUAAGUACAAAAAAUAUUUUGUGUUGAUCCUUGUUGACGUAUAUGAUUGGAUUUUGUUACAAAUUUUGGACUUCACACGUUUGAAAAUUUAGGCUUAUACUUGUAAUUGUUUAUGAUCAGCUUUGGCAAUGUAGCUCUUUUCCUGAAAUAACAAAGUCAAGUCUCUGCAGAUGAAAAUGGAGUUAUUAAAUAUGAAAAUGAGCUUUAACAUGACUUUUUUUAUUAGAAACUGGAUUAGUCCUACUGAUGUUCCAAAAAUUUGGAGGGUUUGGAGAAUGUGUUUUAUACAAGUGCAACAAUAGAAAUGGUAUAUGUCAAAUGCCAGCUUUUGUUCUAUCUUAA